GUGUGCUCGCUUCAUACGUAUACUAAAAUUGGAAUGAUGCAGAGAAAAUUAGCAUGGCGCCUGCGCAAGGAUGCCAUGCAAAUUCGUGAAGCGUUUCGUGUUUGU
Small nuclear RNA from Alexandromys fortis (reed vole), 105 nucleotides. The record is from RefSeq and is a predicted model, not a curated record. NCBI's taxonomy places the organism in Eukaryota, Metazoa, Chordata, Mammalia, Rodentia, Cricetidae.